Molecule: small nuclear RNA, 103 nt
Organism: Ochotona princeps (American pika)
Lineage: Eukaryota; Metazoa; Chordata; Mammalia; Lagomorpha; Ochotonidae
Source: Ensembl
GUGCUCACGCUGGCAGCGCAGACACUGACACUGGAGCGAGACGAAGAUGAGCAUGGCCCUGGGCAAGGAGGACAUGCUGAUCCGUGAAGGGGCCGGUGAUUUU